AAAAAAAAAAAAAAAAAGUGCUUACCUUAGCUUCUGACUCUGAUACAACCUUGGUCUUUUUGCUCUCCAGGUAGAGUUUCCACAGGGACAUGGGAUAUUUCUGGAUGCCUGUGUAGAGUUAGCUGUUACUCCAGCCAGGCAUGCUGCCUAAAGAUCUUGAAGGAUAUGGAUGUUUCUGCUGUGGAAGAAAACUGCCUAUUAUGCAAAGUAACGUGGAAUCUUUGUCUGAAGAGACGCUCAUAUAUUUGUGCUUUUGAAGGAACACAGAUUUCUAAGACUCCCACUAUUUUACGGAGCCCUCUCCUGCUCCAUCAAGGCCUGAAUGCAGACAAGGUUUCUAAUGAACUUCCUGAACACUGAACCUGUGAUCUGUAGGAAUUGCAAAUGCACGCGAU
This 395-nucleotide long non-coding RNA is filed under the name Calidris pugnax (ruff). RNAcentral's name for it is "lncRNA (ENSCPUG00000016898.1)". Lineage: Eukaryota; Metazoa; Chordata; Aves; Charadriiformes; Scolopacidae. The record is from RNAcentral.